RNAcentral lists this ribosomal RNA (948 nucleotides) under uncultured Bacillus sp. RNAcentral's name for it is "bacterial SSU rRNA". It matches the Rfam family "Bacterial small subunit ribosomal RNA", at positions 35 to 970 of the family's 1533-position model. Lineage: Bacteria; Bacillati; Bacillota; Bacilli; Caryophanales; Bacillaceae. The record is from RNAcentral.
GCAGAGGGGUGCUAUACUGCAGUCGAGCGGACAGAUGGGAGCUUGCUCCCUGAUGUUAGCGGCGGACGGGUGAGUAACACGUGGGUAACCUGCCUGUAAGACUGGGAUAACUCCGGGAAACCGGGGCUAAUACCGGAUGGUUGUCUGAACCGCAUGGUUCAGACAUAAAAGGUGGCUUCGGCUACCACUUACAGAUGGACCCGCGGCGCAUUAGCUAGUUGGUGAGGUAACGGCUCACCAAGGCGACGAUGCGUAGCCGACCUGAGAGGGUGAUCGGCCACACUGGGACUGAGACACGGCCCAGACUCCUACGGGAGGCAGCAGUAGGGAAUCUUCCGCAAUGGACGAAAGUCUGACGGAGCAACGCCGCGUGAGUGAUGAAGGUUUUCGGAUCGUAAAGCUCUGUUGUUAGGGAAGAACAAGUGCCGUUCAAAUAGGGCGGCACCUUGACGGUACCUAACCAGAAAGCCACGGCUAACUACGUGCCAGCAGCCGCGGUAAUACGUAGGUGGCAAGCGUUGUCCGGAAUUAUUGGGCGUAAAGGGCUCGCAGGCGGUUUCUUAAGUCUGAUGUGAAAGCCCCCGGCUCAACCGGGGAGGGUCAUUGGAAACUGGGGAACUUGAGUGCAGAAGAGGAGAGUGGAAUUCCACGUGUAGCGGUGAAAUGCGUAAAGAUGUGGAGGAACACCAGUGGCGAAGGCGACUCUCUGGUCUGUAACUGACGCUGAGGAGCGAAAGCGUGGGGAGCGAACAGGAUUAGAUACCCUGGUAGUCCACGCCGUAAACGAUGAGUGCUAAGUGUUAGGGGGUUUCCGCCCCUUAGUGCUGCAGCUAACGCAUUAAGCACUCCGCCUGGGGAGUACGGUCGCAAGACUGAAACUCAAAGGAAUUGACGGGGGCCCGCCAAGCGGUGGAACAUGUGGUUUAAUUCAAAGCCACGCGAAGAACC